RNAcentral lists this ribosomal RNA (434 nucleotides) under uncultured Lachnospiraceae bacterium. RNAcentral describes it as "partial 16S ribosomal RNA". It matches the Rfam family "Bacterial small subunit ribosomal RNA", at positions 341 to 792 of the family's 1533-position model. The record is from RNAcentral. Lineage: Bacteria; Bacillati; Bacillota; Clostridia; Lachnospirales; Lachnospiraceae.
ACGGAAGGCAGCAGUGGGGGAUAUUGCACAAUGGGGGAGACCCUGAUGCAGCGCCGCCGCGUGAGUGAAGAAGUAUUUCGGUAUGUAAAGCUCUUUAAGCUGGAAAGAUAAUGACGGUACCAGCAGAAUAAGCCCCGGCUAACUACGUGACAGCAGCCGCGGUAAUACGUAGGGGUCAAGCGUUAUCCGGAUUUACUGGGUGUAAAGGGAGCGUAGACGGCACAGCAAGUCUUAAGUGAAAUGUAGGGGCUUAACCCCUGAACUGCUUUGGAAACUGUUGGGCUUGAGUACCGGAGGGGCAGGCGGAAUGCCUGGUGUAGCGGUGAAAUGCGUAGAUAUCAGGAAGAACACCGGUGGCGAAGGCGGCCUGCUGGACGGUAACUGACGUUGAGGCUCGAAAGCGUGGGGAGCAAACAGGAUUAGAUACCCUGGUA